GGCCUGCGGAGGACCCGGAAGGGGCUCUCGAGGGGGACCGCCCGUUGCCCGUCUCUCGCUCGUUUCCGCUGCCUUCCGGGUUGGGAGGGCUGGUGAGCUCCGUGCCGCGAGGUGCCACCGCCCAGCCCUGGUUCUGGUCACCCUGGGAUUUCUGCUCCUGGCCAGCCCACUGCGUAAGGAGGACUCACAAGCUCUUGAACUCUCCCUGCUCUCCUCUGAACUAUUGAAAGCUGAAGACGACGACAAGAUCCUGCUGAAUCUGAAGAGUCACCAGAACUAACACCUGAAGAGAUGUUGGUGCUUGUCCUCUGACGGGCAGAAUAAGCCGCCCUACUGGUGGCAGACUGGGUAGGAGAACCUACCAACUCAGGAAUUACUUUU
Long non-coding RNA from Manis javanica (Malayan pangolin), 381 nucleotides. RefSeq lists it as uncharacterized. Lineage: Eukaryota; Metazoa; Chordata; Mammalia; Pholidota; Manidae. The record is from RefSeq and is a predicted model, not a curated record.